GUCGAGAAUCUUUCACAAUGGGGGCAACCCUGAUGGAGCGACGCCGCGUGGAGGAUAAGGUCUUCGGAUUGUAAACUCCUGUCAUGCGUGAACAAGGUUGCUUGGUUAAUACCUGGGCAAAUUGAUGGUAACGCAAGAGGAAGAGACGGCUAACUCUGUGCCAGCAGCCGCGGUAAUACAGAGGUCUCAAGCGGUGUUCGGAAUCACUGGGCGUAAAGGGUGCGUAGGUGGCGGGGUAAGUCAGAUGUGAAAGCCCGGGGCUCAACCUCGGAACUGCAUCCGAUACUGCCAGGCUAGAGUACUGGAGAGGUGACUAGAAUUCUCGGUGUAGCAGUGAAAUGCGUAGAUAUCGAGAGGAAUACCAAAGGCGUAGGCAGGUCACUGGACAGUUACUGACACUGAGGCACGAAGGCCAGGGGAGCGAACGGGAUUAGAAACCCCUGUAGUCC
RNAcentral lists this ribosomal RNA (449 nucleotides) under uncultured bacterium. RNAcentral describes it as "partial 16S ribosomal RNA". It matches the Rfam family "Bacterial small subunit ribosomal RNA", at positions 354 to 796 of the family's 1533-position model. The record is from RNAcentral.